UACAGAGGUGGCAAGCGUUGUUCGGAAUUACUGGGCGUAAAGGGCGCGUAGGCGGUCCCGUCAGUCCCUUGUGAAAUCCCCCCGGCUCAACUGGGGGAACUGCAAAGGGAUACAGCGGGGGCUUGAGUUCGGGAGAGGGAAGCGGAAUUCCGGGUGUAGCGGUGAAAUGCGUAGAUAUCCGGAGGAACACCGGUGGCGAAGGCGACCUUCUGGGACG
This 217-nucleotide ribosomal RNA is filed under the name uncultured bacterium. RNAcentral's name for it is "partial 16S ribosomal RNA". It matches the Rfam family "Bacterial small subunit ribosomal RNA", at positions 524 to 736 of the family's 1533-position model. The record is from RNAcentral.